GUGGGGAUUAUUGGACAAUGGGGGGAACCCUGAUCCAGCCAUGCCGCGUGUGUGAAGAAGGCCUUUUGGUUGUAAAGCACUUUAAGCGAGGAGGAGGCUACCGAGAUUAAUACUCUUGGAUAGUGGACGUUACUCGCAGAAUAAGCACCGGCUAACUCUGUGCCAGCAGCCGCGGUAAUACAGAGGGUGCAAGCGUUAAUCGGAUUUACUGGGCGUAAAGCGCGCGUAGGUGGCCAAUUAAGUCAAAUGUGAAAUCCCCGAGCUUAACUUGGGAAUUGCAUUCGAUACUGGUUGGCUAGAGUAUGGGAGAGGAUGGUAGAAUUCCAGGUGUAGCGGUGAAAUGCGUAGAGAUCUGGAGGAAUACCGAUGGCGAAGGCAGCCAUCUGGCCUAAUACUGACACUGAGGUGCGAAAGCAUGGGGAGCAAACAGGAUUAGAAACCCUAGUAGUCC
RNAcentral lists this ribosomal RNA (451 nucleotides) under uncultured bacterium. Its description in RNAcentral is "partial 16S ribosomal RNA". It matches the Rfam family "Bacterial small subunit ribosomal RNA", at positions 354 to 796 of the family's 1533-position model. The record is from RNAcentral.